RNAcentral lists this unclassified non-coding RNA (240 nucleotides) under soil metagenome. Its description in RNAcentral is "partial contains 5.8S ribosomal RNA, internal transcribed spacer 2, and large subunit ribosomal RNA". The record is from RNAcentral.
AACCAUAGAAACCUGCGGAGUACCUGCGGAAGGAUCAUUACCGAGUUAGGGUCUUUAUGGCCCGAUCUCCAACCCUGUGUUUAUUAUACCAUGUUGCUUUGGCAGGUCUGCCUUUCGGGGCUGCCGGGGUCUUUGCUGCCCCUGGCGUGCACCUGCCAGAAGCCUUCUUAAAUUCUGUGUUGAAUUGUGUUGUCUGAGUCCCAAUAUUAAAUUAUGAAAAACUUUUAACAAUGGAUCUCA